ACGUCAUUCGAUUUGUUUGGUUCCAUGAUAAACAAAAUAUAAGCAGCAGUGUACGAAUUGGCCACGGGAACCGAAGUUAAACUCCGAAAUAUGGGAAACCGAAUCUUUCCAGGCACGGAUGGUACAAGCGGUGGCUUAUACAAACGAGACCAACUACUGUGGUAACGAACAGUACCGUUAAAAAUAUCGAACACAACGGUCUCCUCACAACAACGGUGGCACUCAUACCGUACCAGUACAGCCCCUACUACGUCCGAAAUCGCAAUUGCAUAUAUCGUAUAGCCGUACGAUACUGUAGUGCUCUGUUAUUGCUGCCAAUAAUGCCAACCAACCAAUGCCAUUGAUGAAGUGGAUAGUCGGGUUAAAAUGCCAUCAGUAGCAGUUGAUAUAAUACGAAACUUUACUAUUCCGGUCUAAUUAGUCGUCAAGUCUGAAAAAUUGUGAUUGUUAACUUCUAAAUACAACCGGUAUUUUCAAGACGCUGUAAUCUGCCGCGACAGCACAUGCGGAUAAAUUGAUUUAGCCUGAAGAAUGGAACAAGCUUGCUCGAUUCUGGAGAUUGUAGGUAACAUUCAAAAUCAGAGAACCGACGUAGGUAAAAUUCUACAGGAAUCUGUGGGUAGUACACAAAGUUAUUCGGUUAUAUGAAGAAACGUUUUUCAUGGCAAAUAUAUUUUUCGAUGAUACGCAAGACGAAACUGAAUUUAGAAAAAUUCGUUGGUAUAGGAGACAUUUGAGGGAUCGGUCUAACCUGCUCGACCUACCGGAGGAACAGUAAGUAGUGUUGCAUAUUCUUUAAAUUCUCCGACACUAUCGCAACGUUUGCUAUUUUAGCUUUCUACAGCGCUAUCGCGUGAGCAAAGAUGUUUUCGUGUAUUUACUACGUGAACUUAAGUUCACAACUGGAUACAAGUGCACGUUCAUUCCACAUAUUCUCCAACUUGCUAUUACACUUCAGCUCUUAGGUGGAGGCGCGUACCAGUGGCAAGUGGGGACCAAUUUCAUAUCUCCUGUGGCCCAAUGCACUGUGUUUAAAAAAAAAUGGAAGAAUCACUUUGCCGUCGCUGGAUACAAUUCAAAUUUAGUGGUAGAACACAGGAAUAUUUUAUGCCAAACUGCAACAUUCCUGGUGUGAUUUGAUGUAUAGACGGAACACACAUCACGUGUCUGCGUCCUCCACAAGAUUAAUACAUGUUCUUUAAUAAGAAUGGAAAACACAACAUUAGUGCAAUGGUUGUAAGCAGUUCGAAAAUAAAUAUUUGCCAUUGUUUCUUGAUUUAUACAUUGUAUUUUUAAUACACGUUUUAAUCAUUUAGAUAUGCAACGAGA
Long non-coding RNA from Topomyia yanbarensis, 1329 nucleotides. RefSeq lists it as uncharacterized. The transcript has 3 exons. Lineage: Eukaryota; Metazoa; Arthropoda; Insecta; Diptera; Culicidae. The record is from RefSeq and is a predicted model, not a curated record.